GACGAACGCUGGCGGCGUGCUUAACACAUGCAAGUCGAACGAAGUGGCGAACGGGUGAGUAACGCGUAAUUAACCUGCCCUUCAGAGGGGGACAACAGUUGGAAACGACUGCUAAUACCGCAUACUGAAGGAGGGGAUUGCGUCUGAUUAGCUAGUUGGAGGGGUAACGGCCCACCAAGGCGAUGAUCAGUAGCCGACCUGAGAGGGUGAUCGGCCACACUGGGACUGAGACACGGCCCAGACUCCUACGGGAGGCAGCAGUAGGGAAUCUUCGGCAAUGGACGAAAGUCUGACCGAGCAACGCCGCGUGAGUGAAGAAGGUUUUCGGAUCGUAAAACUCUGUUAAUCGGGACGCGGUACCGGAAUAGAAAGCCACGGCUAACUACGUGCCAGCAGCCGCGGUAAUUC
RNAcentral lists this ribosomal RNA (408 nucleotides) under uncultured bacterium. RNAcentral's name for it is "partial 16S ribosomal RNA". It matches the Rfam family "Bacterial small subunit ribosomal RNA", at positions 28 to 526 of the family's 1533-position model. The record is from RNAcentral.